This 318-nucleotide long non-coding RNA is filed under the name Ananas comosus (pineapple). RNAcentral's name for it is "long non-coding RNA (ACOM_LNC032699)". The record is from RNAcentral. Lineage: Eukaryota; Viridiplantae; Streptophyta; Magnoliopsida; Poales; Bromeliaceae.
UUUAACUAAUUAACAUACAAGUAAUAUGAUUAACUUUAAAUCACAUACAUGCAUACAUCUUUAAUAAAAUUGUUUACAAUCUUUGCAUCAUUUCUUUUAUACAUCACAAUAUCCCCAAAAUAAACAUAAUGUAAUUCUGCCAAAAGAUAAGCUUUUACAGUAAACCAUAAAUCCUUUUAUAUCAUUCAUAUACUUUCAUUUAAACAUCUAUAACCAUCAAAAUACAAAAGAUGGUAUAAAAGGGUAAUGCAACUAGCAAAAUAAAACUGACUAGGGAAGUCACUGUCUACGGCAUGAUACCCUAACCGCGAUCAUCUG